Eurytemora carolleeae is the source of this 279-nucleotide long non-coding RNA. RefSeq lists it as uncharacterized. The record is from RefSeq and is a predicted model, not a curated record. The transcript has 4 exons. NCBI's taxonomy places the organism in Eukaryota, Metazoa, Arthropoda, Copepoda, Calanoida, Temoridae.
GCUUAGUUCAUAUCAAGCAAGAGAAUGCUGUCAAUGUCAAUGACCCAUCAGAGGAAGAGGGAGAAGGAGAAAGCUGCAGCUAGACGAAGGAUUGCAAGGAUGGAGGCGGAAAGAAAGAAAGAAGAGCACGAGGGAACUUCUGAGGAGGAAUCGGAGGGCGAAAAAGAUUCGUGCACUGAAGAAAACGAGAAGAAAUGAUGAAACUAAAUCAUCAAUAGUUCAAUUCUAAUUUGGAAAUAAAAAAUUUAGAGUCAAAAUAAGCUUUUCAAAUUCUUUUUA